AACCACGAGGCGCAAUGAAAGUGAAGGCACGGUCGCCGUGCUGAGGUGAGAGCUGUCCACGGCAGCGCAUCAUCGACCGAUCCCAUCCGCACACUCGUGGUGCGGCGGGAUUCGAGUAAGAGCGUACCUGUUGCGACCCGAAAGAUGGUGAACUAUGCCUGAAUAGGGUGAAGCCAGAGGAAACUCUGGUGGAGGCCCGUAGCGAUUCUGACGUGCAAAUCGAUCGUCAAAUUUGGGUAUAGGGGCGAAAGACUAAUCGAACCAUCUAGUAGCUGGUUCCCUCCGAAGUUUCCCUCAGGAUAGCUGUAGCCCGAAGCAGUUUUAUCAGGUAAAGCGAAUGAUUAGAGGUAUCGGGGAAGAAACUUCCUCGACCUAUUCUCAAACUUUAAAUAGGUAAGAAGUCCGACUUGCUCAAUUUGAAGCCGGACGCAGAAUGCUGGGUUACUAGUGGGCCAUUUUUGGUAAGCAGAACUGGCGAUGCGGGAUGAACCGAACGCCGAGUUAAGGUGCCAAAGUCGACGCUCAUCAGAUCCCACAAA
Molecule: ribosomal RNA, 539 nt
Filed under: Hippospongia ammata
Lineage: Eukaryota; Metazoa; Porifera; Demospongiae; Dictyoceratida; Spongiidae
Description: eukaryotic LSU rRNA
Rfam family: Eukaryotic large subunit ribosomal RNA
Source: RNAcentral